AUAAUGACUCUCGGCAACGGAUAUCUAGGCUCUUGCAUCGAUGAAGAACGUAGCGAAAUGCGAUACUAGGUGUGAAUUGCAGACCCGUGAACCAUCGAGUCUUUGAACGCAUGUUGCGCCCGAAAGCCAUUAGGUUGAGGGCACGUCUGCCUGGGCGUCACAU
RNAcentral lists this ribosomal RNA (163 nucleotides) under Caragana dasyphylla. Its description in RNAcentral is "5.8S ribosomal RNA". It matches the Rfam family "5.8S ribosomal RNA". From Rfam's summary of the family: 5.8S ribosomal RNA (5.8S rRNA) is a component of the large subunit of the eukaryotic ribosome. It is transcribed by RNA polymerase I as part of the 45S precursor that also contains 18S and 28S rRNA. Lineage: Eukaryota; Viridiplantae; Streptophyta; Magnoliopsida; Fabales; Fabaceae. The record is from RNAcentral.